Molecule: ribosomal RNA, 468 nt
Filed under: uncultured bacterium
Lineage: Bacteria
Description: partial 16S ribosomal RNA
Rfam family: Bacterial small subunit ribosomal RNA
Source: RNAcentral
GACGAACGCUGGCGGCGUGCUUAACACAUGCAAGUCGAACGGAAAGGCCCUGCUUUUGUGGGGUGCUUGAGUGGCGAACGGGUGAGUAAAACGUGAGUAAACUGUACCUGAAUUUGGGAUAAAAUCAGGGAAAUGGGGCUCAUAUAGGGUAGGAGAUCCUGAUGCAUGGUGGGGGUUGGAAAGAUUCGGCGGUUGGGGCUGGACUCGCGGGUUCUGCGCUUGUUGGGGGGGUUGUGGCUUACAAAGGCUGUGACGGGUAGCCUGCCUGAGAGGGUGACCGGCCACAUGGGUACUGAGAGACGCCCCAGACUCCAACCGUAGGCAGCAGUGGGGAACAUUGCGCAAUAGGCGGAAGCCAGAUGCAACAACGCCGCGUUCGUGAUGACGGCCUUCGGGUUAUGAACCUCUUUCGCCUGUGACGAAGCGUUAGUGACGGUAAUGGGUAAAGAAGCACCGGCUAACUACGUG